CGCAGCGUCUCUUCUCAGCAUGGCUGGGGAGGAGCGAUGUUGCACUUGGCGGGGAGCUGCAUGGCCUGCUUGGGGUCGAUGCCGAGGUAGGGCAGCAGGUCGGAGUUCUUGUAGGAGCAAAGGCACGGCAGGUCGGCCUGCUUCAACGCCGCGCAACAGGCCUCGCUCGGCUUCUCCUCCGGCUUCACCAUCGCGAUGCACGGCUUGCACGCCGCCAGCCCCUCCUGGGUCAUCUUGCACAGGCUCUGGUCCGCCGCCUUCGUGGUGGAUGCCGCCACCAUUAGGAGAACCAUCGCCAUUGCGACCACCACAGCCC
Molecule: long non-coding RNA, 316 nt
Filed under: Musa acuminata (dwarf banana)
Lineage: Eukaryota; Viridiplantae; Streptophyta; Magnoliopsida; Zingiberales; Musaceae
Description: long non-coding RNA (MACU_LNC001958)
Source: RNAcentral